This 275-nucleotide ribosomal RNA is filed under the name uncultured prokaryote. Its description in RNAcentral is "partial 16S ribosomal RNA". It matches the Rfam family "Bacterial small subunit ribosomal RNA", at positions 524 to 798 of the family's 1533-position model. The record is from RNAcentral.
UACGUAGGUGGCAAGCGUUGUCCGGAAUGACUGGGCGUAAAGGGCGCGUAGACGGCUGAUUAAGUCUGGAGUGAAAGUCCUGCUUUUAAGGUGGGAAGUGCUUUGGAGACUGGUUGGCUUGAGUGCGGAAGAGGUAAGUGGAAUUCCCAGUGUAGCGGUGAAAUGCGUAGAGAUUGGGAGGAACACCAGUGGCGAAGGCGACUUACUGGGCCGUAACUGACGUUGAUGCGCGAAAGCGUGGGGAGCGAACAGGAUUAGAUACCCGCGUAGUCCCU